RNAcentral lists this ribosomal RNA (649 nucleotides) under uncultured bacterium. RNAcentral describes it as "bacterial SSU rRNA". It matches the Rfam family "Bacterial small subunit ribosomal RNA", at positions 202 to 842 of the family's 1533-position model. The record is from RNAcentral.
AAAAGUGGGGAGACCUGACGCUGAAAGAUGGACUCGCGUCCCAUUAGCUAGUUGGUAGGGUAAUGGCCUACCAAGGCGACGAUGGGUAGCCGGCCUGAGAGGGUGGCCGGCCACACUGGGACUGAGACACGGCCCAGACUCCUACGGGAGGCAGCAGUGGGGAAUUUUGCGCAAUGCUCGUAAGAGUGACGCAGCGACGCCGCGUGAAUGACGAAGGCCUUCGGGUCGUAAAGUUCUUUCGACAGGGAAGAAAAUGCCUAUAAGUAACUGUGUAUGUAUUGACGGUACCUGUAUAAGCAGCCCCGGCUAACUCCGCGCCAGCAGCCGCGGUAAUACGGAGGGGGCGAGCGUUGUUCGGAGUGACUGGGCGUAAAGAGCACGUAGGCGGUGUUGUAAGUCAUUAGUCAAAGACUAGAGCUCAACUUUAGUAAGGCUAGUGAUACUAUAAUACUAGAGUAUCAGAGAGGAUUGCAGAAUUCCUGGUGUAGCGGUGAAAUGCGUAGAUAUCAGGAGGAAUACCGUUAGCGAAGGCGGCAAUCUGGCUGGAAACUGACGCUGAGGUGCGAAAGCGUGGGUAGCAAACAGGAUUAGAUACCCUGGUAGUCCACGCUGUAAACGAUGGAUGCUAGGUGUUGGGCUUUUAAGUUCA